CGGACGGCUGAGUAGCGCGUAGGAAUGUGCCCCAAAGUGAGGAAUAACUGCCCGAGAGGGUAGCUAAUGCCGCAUAUGAUCUUCGGAUUAAAGGAUUUAUCCGCUUUGGAAGCAGCCUGCGUACGAUUAGAAUAGUUGGUGAGGUAAUGGCUCACCAAGUCCACGAUCGUUAGCUGGUCUGAGAGGAUGACCAGCCAGACUGGAACUGAGACACGGUCCAGACUCCUACGGGAGGCAGCAGUGAGGAAUCUUCCACAAUGGGCGAAAGCCUGAUGGAGCAACGCCGCGUGCAGGAUGAAGGCCCUCGGGUCGUAAACUGCUUUUAUAAGUGAAGAAUAUGACGGUAACUUAUGAAUAAGCACCGGCUAACUACGUGCCAGCAGCCGCGGUCAUACGUAGGGUGCAAGCAUUAUCCGGAGUGACUGGGCGUAAAGAGUUGCGUAGGUGGUUAGUAAAGUGAAUAGUGAAAUCUGGCGGCUCAACCGUACAGGCUAUUAUUCAAACUCACUAACUCGAGAAUGGUAGAGGUAACUGGAAUUUCUUGUGUAGGAGUGAAAUCCGUAGAUAUAAGAAGGAACACCAAUGGCGUAGGCAGGUUACUGGACCAUUUCUGACACUGAGGCACGAAAGCGUGGGGAGCGAACCGGAUUAGAUACCCGGGUAGUCCACGCCGUAAACGAUGGAUACUAGCUGUUGGAGGUAUCGACCCCUUCAGUAGCGAAGCUAACGCGUUAAGUAUCCCGCCUGUGGAGUACGGUCGCAAGACUAAAACAUAAAGGAAUUGACGGGGAUCAGCACAAGCGGUGGAUCGUGUUCUUUAAUUCGAUGAUAAACGAAGAACCUUACCAGGGCUUGACAUCCAGGGAAGCACUACGAAAGUAGAGUGUGCCUUUUGGAACCCCGUGACAGGUGUUGCAUGGCCGUCGUCAGCUCGUGUCGUGAGAUGUUUGGUUAAGUCCAUCAACGAGCGCAACCCUUGUGAAUAGUUGUAUUUUUCUAUUCAGACUGCUCUAGUAAUAGGGAGGAAGGAGGGGGUGAUGUCAGGUCAGUAUUACCCUUACGUCCUGGGCUAGAAACACGAUACAAUGGCUAGUACAAUGCGCAGCAAAGCCGCGAGGUGGAGCAAAUCGCAUCAAAGCUAGUCCCAGUUCGGAUAAGAGGCUGAAACU
RNAcentral lists this ribosomal RNA (1169 nucleotides) under uncultured bacterium. Its description in RNAcentral is "bacterial SSU rRNA". It matches the Rfam family "Bacterial small subunit ribosomal RNA", at positions 99 to 1312 of the family's 1533-position model. The record is from RNAcentral.